UAUCCUACGGGGCGCAGCAGUGGGGGAUAUUGCACAAUGGGGGAAACCCUGAUGCAGCGACGCCGCGUGGGUGAAGAAGCGCCUCGGCGCGUAAAGCCCUGUCAGCAGGGAAGAAAAUGACGGUACCUGAAGAAGAAGCCCCGGCUAACUACGUGCCAGCAGCCGCGGUAAUACGUAGGGGGCAAGCGUUAUCCGGAUUUACUGGGUGUAAAGGGGGCGCAGACGGCGAUGCAAGCCAGGAGGGAAAGCCCGGGGCCCAACCCCGGGACAGGUCUUGGAACUGCGUGGCUAGAGGGCAGGAGGGG
RNAcentral lists this ribosomal RNA (305 nucleotides) under uncultured bacterium. RNAcentral's name for it is "bacterial SSU rRNA". It matches the Rfam family "Bacterial small subunit ribosomal RNA", at positions 335 to 657 of the family's 1533-position model. The record is from RNAcentral.